RNAcentral lists this transfer RNA (74 nucleotides) under Candidatus Omnitrophota bacterium. RNAcentral's name for it is "Candidatus Omnitrophica bacterium tRNA-Val". It matches the Rfam family "tRNA". From Rfam's summary of the family: Transfer RNA (tRNA) molecules are approximately 80 nucleotides in length. Lineage: Bacteria; Pseudomonadati; Candidatus Omnitrophota. The record is from RNAcentral.
GGGCGGUUAGCUCAGUUGGUUAGAGCGUUGCGCUCACAUCGCAAAGGUCGCCCGUUCAAAUCGGGCACCGCCCA